RNAcentral lists this transfer RNA (91 nucleotides) under Chloroflexi bacterium RBG_13_66_10. RNAcentral describes it as "tRNA-Ser". It matches the Rfam family "tRNA". From Rfam's summary of the family: Transfer RNA (tRNA) molecules are approximately 80 nucleotides in length. Lineage: Bacteria; Bacillati; Chloroflexota. RNAcentral also lists the same sequence under 2 other names. The record is from RNAcentral.
GGAGAGGUGCCGGAGUGGUUGAACGGGGCGGUCUCGAAAACCGUUGUGGCCCUCGUGGCCACCGUGGGUUCGAAUCCCACCCUCUCCGCCA